Molecule: non-coding RNA, 1154 nt
Organism: Oryzias latipes (Japanese medaka)
Lineage: Eukaryota; Metazoa; Chordata; Actinopteri; Beloniformes; Adrianichthyidae
Source: RefSeq, a predicted model, not a curated record
CUCUGCUCGGGUAGUUUCUUCUGCAUUUCAGGUGGGAUCUGCUCAGGCAGUGAAGUAUGGAGCUCAGCUGGAGGGUCCUCCACAGAAACUCGUCUCGCCACAAGAGAUGAAGGAUCAGCAGCAAGGCUAUAUAUUCCCUGAAACAUAAGAAGAGGAACAGCACGAUUAAACUUGGACAUGCUUGUCAGGCAAUAAAAACAUACACAUUCCUAUUUCCCACCUCAUAUGGGGACUCUGUCCACCCAAAGCCCUGAUGGUUCUCCUGCAGCUCCAGAGGUAAGGGCGGUCGGACUGGUGGCUCGUGGUCCAUGUCCUGCAGGAGUUAACAGUUAUAAACAACCUAUUUGAACAUCAUCUCAUCAAUGAGUGAUCUGUCAUGUUAAAUCCAGAGGAAACAUUUUACAGCCACCUAAUUAAGACAGCUCACCAGUGAGCUAUGUGGCCUUUCCAUGGGAGAUCCAGGAGAUCCAGGAUGUGGAGCCAAAGAUUGGAAUGCUGAAAGGAGAACAUAAAUGUUCUGACUCUUUUCUUUUGUAGUUGUUCAUGAUCCAAGAAAUCAGGAGCACUUUUUAAAAGUGUUUCAGUUAAAAUGACCUAGAAUUGUAGGCAAGACAACAGACAAACAACUAACACAACAAGUUUUACAUGCACAAUAGUGCUACUUUAUAAAAACGAAACAAGCAUCACAUUCUAAAGGGGAACAUAUUUAGUGUGGCCUUAGGAUGAGAUAAACGAGAAGGAGACUAGCAAGAUUAUCGUGUGAGGCGAGAUGUAUGCUGUGCUGCUCACUGUGAUGUCUCUGUACUCUCAGCAGGAAACAAAUGUGAUCUCUGUUGACUCUUAAUCCAUCAAGGAUGUCCUCCAUCAUCCACAGUUCCCUCUGAGCCUGAGAUUGCUCCUAAACAGAGAAGAUAAAUCUGUGACAAAUCCUUUGACACAGAUGUGCUGCAGGUGUGAACGGAUAACAGACAGUUCACUUUCCAUUCUCUCAUACUGACUCCACACCCUCUCCAUUUCCUGAAUGUAAAAGUAAAAAGUGACACAUCACACAUUCUCGCCCGGAUCGUGACCAGCUCAUCCUGUAGCAAAGCUUUCUGGGUCAGAACUUCUUCAAGUGCCCGUGGCCCCUGGUUCUUCCAGUCUUCCACCUGAAG